GACGAACGCUGGCGGCGCGCUUAACACAUGCAAGUCGAACGGAAAGGCCUGCUUUCCCUUGUGGAUUGCGGGUACUCGAGUGGCGAACGGGUGAGUAACACGUGAGUGAUCUGCCCCCAACUUGGGUAUAAGCCUGGGAAACUGGGUCUAAUUCCCGAUAGGACUGCAGGGUGGUGCCUGUGGUGGAAAACGAUUUUCUAGUGGUUGGGGAUGAGCUCGCGGCCUAUCAGCUUGUUGGUGGGGUAAUGGCCUACCAAGGCGGCGACGGGUAGCCGGCCUGAGAGGGUGGACGGCCACAUUGGGACUGGGAUACGGCCCAGACUGCUACGGGAGGCAGCAGUGGGGAAUAUUGGACAAUGAGCGGGAGCCUGAUGCAGCGACGCCGCGUGGGGGAUGACGGCCUUCGGGUUGUAAACUCCUUUCGACCGCGAGGAAGCCACCUGGUUGGAGGGGUGGUGACGGUAGUGGUAGAAGAAGCACCGGCUAACUACGUG
RNAcentral lists this ribosomal RNA (494 nucleotides) under uncultured bacterium. Its description in RNAcentral is "partial 16S ribosomal RNA". It matches the Rfam family "Bacterial small subunit ribosomal RNA", at positions 28 to 507 of the family's 1533-position model. The record is from RNAcentral.